ACGUAAUGUUUAUCAUCAUUUCACUAGUAACUACCUAGGCCAAGAUUUCACUUUGACCGUCGGCAGGAGAAUGCAGACCCCUAGGCCUAGAGUAGGCUAAACUAAUGAGUUUGUAAGAUUGAGUUUAAAACUAACAUGAUUUUCAGACUUCUAAGGUUUCUGGCUAAUAAUGAGCAACUUAUAGAAAAGCUCUCCGAGUCGAGAGUAAUGAGACGGAUUGCCCAGAUGACUGCAUACUCCAUGAAUAAAGCACAAGAAAUAGGUCACGAAGCAAUAGAAAAAGCAGCCGAGUCUGAGAGUAUAAGGAAGUUCUCAGAGACCGAGUCACAGGAUGAGAAUAAGAUAUCAACAUUCAGCAGAACAUUUAUGAAAGAAGUGCAGGAGGGACUGAAAGAAAUGAAUGAAGAACUAAAAAAGAAAGAUUGAAUUUAGGAACAGACUACAUUUGUUUGAUUUAAAAACCACCUUACUUGGAAUUCUUAUAAAUAUAUACUGUAUAUAUAAUAAAGUUUUCUAAAUUAGAAUUGUAAAUUGUGUUGUAGAAAAUACAGUAUGAUUUGUGUUAAGUGUAAAGGAGUAAGGGGUUACUUCUUCACAGUCUAGCUAGUAGCAGCAGCAGACCCAAGCCGGUGAGAUGUUUACAUCUAAUUGUGAACUCAGUUGAUGAAGGAGCACUGUAACAUUCAGGGGACUAAGCACAUUUGUUUUUAAUUUAAAAAACAUCUUGCAUUACAUUGCAUCUUGACUAAUGUUCUGUAGGGUUGUAGCUGUAGGAAACAUUUUAAGAGUGGGCCUAAACAAAUUGUUUGCCCUCCAGCGCCCGCCCCUAACUCACUGAAAAAUAGGGGGGUUUUAAAAAAUUUUUGUUCACUAAUUUAAGGAAGUGAUCUUUUCUUCUCCAUUUUGCACAUGAAAGUUGUCUAAAUUUGGUGUCUUGUGUAAAAUAUCGCCCUUCUAGGCCUAUAUUCAUUACAAAAUAUUGAUUAUUGGUUAUUUUUAUUUAGUCUGAUGAAUACCCUUUGAAAAGCAAAUACUGUACUAAUUUCAAGCACUGCAAUUUAAUGUUAAU
Molecule: unclassified non-coding RNA, 1069 nt
Filed under: Anneissia japonica
Lineage: Eukaryota; Metazoa; Echinodermata; Crinoidea; Comatulida; Comatulidae
Description: uncharacterized LOC117125085, transcript variant X1
Source: RNAcentral